RNAcentral lists this small RNA (118 nucleotides) under Modestobacter sp. Lineage: Bacteria; Bacillati; Actinomycetota; Actinomycetes; Geodermatophilales; Geodermatophilaceae. The record is from RNAcentral.
UGACGCUCCAACUGCGACGGCAGUGGAGGAAGCCCGGUGGAACUCCGGCGCGGUCCCGCCACUGUGACCCGGUCCCGACCGGGGAGUCAGGAACUCCCGCCGUCGCUUCCUGCCACCU